GUCGGGAGGUCCUCAAGACGGAAAGUCAUCAGGACGGAAGGACCUCAGGUCGGUAGGUCCUCAAGACGGAAAGACCUCAAGUCGGAAGGUUUUCAGGUCGGGAGGUCCUCAAGACGGAAAGACCUCAAGUCGGAAGGUUUUCAGGUCGGGAGGUCCUCAAGACGGAAAGACCUCAAGUCGGAAGGUUUUCAGGUCGGGAGGUCCUCAAGACGGAAAGACCUCAAGUCGGAAGGUUUUCAGGUCGGGAGGUCCUCAAGACGGAAAGACCUCAAGUCGGAAGGUUUUCAGGUCGGGAGGUCCUCAAGACGGAAAGACCUCAAGUCGGAAGGUUUUCAGGUCGGGAGGUCCUCAAGACGGAAAGACCUCAAGUCGGAAGGUUUUCA
Molecule: long non-coding RNA, 383 nt
Organism: Andrographis paniculata
Lineage: Eukaryota; Viridiplantae; Streptophyta; Magnoliopsida; Lamiales; Acanthaceae
Exons: 4
Source: RefSeq, a predicted model, not a curated record